GAUGAACGCUGGCGGCGUGCCUAAUACAUGCAAGUCGAGCGAACGGACGAGAAGCUUGCUUCUCUGAUGUUAGCGGCGGACGGGUGAGUAACACGUGGAUAACCUACCUAUAAGACUGGGAUAACUUCGGGAAACCGGAGCUAAUACCGGAUAAUAUUUUGAAACGCAUGGUUCAAAAGUGAAAGACGGUCUUGCUGUCACUUAUAGAUGGAUCCGAGCUGCAUUAUCUAGUUGGUAAGGUAACGGCUUACCAAGGCAACGAUGCAUAGCCGACCUGAGAGGGUGAUCGGCCACACUGGAACUGAGACACGGUCCAGACUCCUACGGGAGGCAGCAGUAGGGAAUCUUCCGCAAUGGGCGAAAGCCUGACGGAGCAACGCCGCGUGAGUGAUGAAGGUCUUCGGAUCGUAAAACUCUGUUAUUAGGGAAGAACAUAUGUGUAAGUAACUGUGCACAUCUUGACGGUACCUAAUCAGAAAGCCACGGCUAACUACGUG
Molecule: ribosomal RNA, 497 nt
Filed under: uncultured bacterium
Lineage: Bacteria
Description: partial 16S ribosomal RNA
Rfam family: Bacterial small subunit ribosomal RNA
Source: RNAcentral